RNAcentral lists this long non-coding RNA (604 nucleotides) under Linum usitatissimum (flax). RNAcentral describes it as "long non-coding RNA (LUSI_LNC001917)". The record is from RNAcentral. Lineage: Eukaryota; Viridiplantae; Streptophyta; Magnoliopsida; Malpighiales; Linaceae.
ACUAUCUCCAAGAAUUUAACUCUUCACUUCCUGUCAUCUGGACCUGUUUACUCAGCCUGAGUUUAGCAGCCAAGAGACCACAAGAGACAAAUAUGCACUCGAGCGGAAACCAAACUACGUUGCUCACUCUACAUCCUCCAUUCAGCACAAGUACAGGCAAAAACGUACGAAUGGGUAGGCUUUAUCCGACUUCGUGUACUGCGAAUCAAGGCAAGUAUUAAAAAAAAGAGAAAUUCAAACAACGGUACCCACCUAGUUCUAAGCAAUUCUAAUCAUUUUCCACCUCUCUCCAAUCCGUACCAUCAGCCGCUUCUCACAAAACCCACCUAAUAUGUUUCACCUAUCCAACAGCUAACUAAACAAGCCAUUAGCCUAUCCUCAUCGUCAAAUGCAACAACCGUACUCAACUGGGUCGGAUAGAAACAGAUAAGGAAUAAAAAAGCCAACCAAAAUUCAAAAACCAAUCAUACAGCGUAUAAAAAAACAGAAUAACAAAGCUUCAGCUUUCCUUGUGAAAAAUCAGCUGAUAGUAGAUUAACCUGCCAAGCAUCGAGAGUGCGCUGAAAGCUCUGAAGCCAGCGAUCGGCUUCCAUGCGAACAGCGU